This 245-nucleotide ribosomal RNA is filed under the name uncultured bacterium. Its description in RNAcentral is "partial 16S ribosomal RNA". It matches the Rfam family "Bacterial small subunit ribosomal RNA", at positions 524 to 768 of the family's 1533-position model. The record is from RNAcentral.
GACGAAGGUGACAAGCGUUGUUCGGAAUCACUGGGCGUAAAGAGUUCGUAGGCGGCCUUGUAAGUCAGGUGUGAAAUCCUGCGGCUCAACCGCGGAAGUGCACCUGAUACUGCGAAGCUUGAGUGCAGGAGGGGAGAGUGGAAUUCCUGGUGUAGCGGUGAAAUGCGUAGAUAUCAGGAGGAACGCCGGUGGCGAAAGCGACUCUCUGGCCUGCAACUGACGCUGAGGAACGAAAGCUAGGGGAG